GGAAUUCCUGGUGUAGCGGUGGAAUGCGCAGAUAUCAGGAGGAACACCAAUGGCGAAGGCACAUCUCUGGGCCGUAACUGACGCUGAGGAACGAAAGCGUGGGGAGCAAGCAGGAUUAGAUACCCUGGUAGUCCACGCCGUAAACGGUGGGUGCUAGCUGUGGGCCACAUUCCACGUGGUCCGUGACGAAGUUAACACAUUAAGCACCCCGCCUGGGGAGUACGGCCGCAAGGCUAAAACUCAAAGGAAUUGACGGGGGCCCGCACAAGCGGCGGAGCAUGCGGAUUAAUUCGAUGCAACGCGAAGAACCUUACCAAGGCUUGACAUAUAGAGGAAAAGUGCAGAAAUGUACUCCCCGCAAGGUCUCUAUACAGGUGGUGCAUGGUUGUCGUCAGCUCGUGUCGUGAGAUGUUGGGUUAAGUCCCGCAACGAGCGCAACCCUCGUCCUAUGUUGCCAGCACGUAAUGGUGGGAACUCAUGGGAUACUGCCGGGGUCAACUCGGAGGAAGGUGGGGAUGACGUCAAAUCAUCAUGCCCCUUAUGUCUUGGGCUUCACGCAUGCUACAAUGGCCGGUACAGAGGGCUGCAAUACCGUAAGGUGGAGCGAAUCCCAAAAAGCCGGUCUCAGUUCGGAUUGAGGUCUGCAACUCGACCUCAUGAAGUCGGAGUCGCUAGUAAUCGUAGAUC
Molecule: ribosomal RNA, 687 nt
Filed under: uncultured Gram-positive bacterium SB39
Lineage: Bacteria
Description: bacterial SSU rRNA
Rfam family: Bacterial small subunit ribosomal RNA
Source: RNAcentral